GGGAACCUACGGGAGGCAGCAGUGGGGAAUAUUGCACAAUGGGGGGAACCCUGAUGCAGCAAUGCCGCGUGGGUGAAGAAGCACUCCGGUGCGUAAAGCCCUGUCAGCAGGGGAGAAAAUGACAGUACCUGACCAAGAAGCCCCGGCUAACUACGUGCCAGCAGCCGCGGUAAUACGUGGGGGGCAAGCGUUAUCCGGAUUUACUGGGUGUAAAGGGUGCGUAGGUGGCAGGGCAAGUCAGAUGUGAAAGCCCGGGGCUCAACCCCGGUACUGCAUUUGAAACUGUCCAGCUGGAGUGCAGGAGA
RNAcentral lists this ribosomal RNA (305 nucleotides) under uncultured bacterium. RNAcentral describes it as "bacterial SSU rRNA". It matches the Rfam family "Bacterial small subunit ribosomal RNA", at positions 333 to 655 of the family's 1533-position model. The record is from RNAcentral.